GAUGAACGCUGGCGGCGUGCCUAAUACAUGCAAGUCGAGCGAACGGACGAGAAGCUUGCUUUUCUGAUGUUAGCGGCGGACGGGUGAGUAACACGUGGAUAACCUACCUAUAAGACUGGGAUAACUUCGAGAAACCGGAGCUAAUACCGGAUAAUAUUUUGAACCGCAUGGUUCAAAAGUGAAAGACGGUCUUGCUGUCACUUAUAGAUGGAUCCGCGCUGCAUUAGCUAGUUGGUAAGGUAACGGCUUACCAAGGCAACGAUGCAUAGCCGACCUGAGAGGGUGAUCGGCCACACUGGAACUGAGACACGGUCCAGACUCCUACGGGAGGCAGCAGUAGGGAAUCUUCCGCAAUGGGCGAAAGCCUGACGGAGCAACGCCGCGUGAGUGAUGAAGGUCUUCGGAUCGUAAAACUCUGUUAUUAGGGAAGAACAUAUGUGUAAGUAACUGUGCACAUCUUGACGGUACCUAAUCAGAAAGCCACGGCUAACUACGUG
RNAcentral lists this ribosomal RNA (497 nucleotides) under uncultured bacterium. RNAcentral's name for it is "partial 16S ribosomal RNA". It matches the Rfam family "Bacterial small subunit ribosomal RNA", at positions 28 to 507 of the family's 1533-position model. The record is from RNAcentral.